Molecule: ribosomal RNA, 484 nt
Filed under: uncultured bacterium
Lineage: Bacteria
Description: partial 16S ribosomal RNA
Rfam family: Bacterial small subunit ribosomal RNA
Source: RNAcentral
AUUGAACGCUGGCGGAAUGCUUUACACAUGCAAGUCGAACGGCAGCACGGGGGCAGCCCUGGUGGCGAGUGGCGAACGGGUGAGUAAUACAUCGGAACGUGCCCGGUCGUGGGGGAUAACGUAGCGAAAGUUACGCUAAUACCGCAUACGAUCUGAGGAUGAAAGCGGGGGACCUUCGGGCCUCGCGCGAUCAGAGCGGCCGAUGUCAGAUUAGGUAGUUGGUGGGGUAAAGGCCUACCAAGCCGACGAUCUGUAGCUGGUCUGAGAGGACGACCAGCCACACUGGGACUGAGACACGGCCCAGACUCCUACGGGAGGCAGCAGUGGGGAAUUUUGGACAAUGGGCGCAAGCCUGAUCCAGCCAUUCCGCGUGCAGGACGAAGGCCUUCGGGUUGUAAACUGCUUUUGUACGGAACGAAAAGGCUCUGGCUAAUACCUGGGGCUCAUGACGGUACCGUAAGAAUAAGCACCGGCUAACUACGUG